UUUCUACUUCAUUCCUCAAGUAGAUUAAAUGUGGAUCUCAUAGUUGCCCCUUUUUAAUAUGUUGAAUGAGAUCAGAUUGCACAUAGAUAGAGGCCAUCAAUAUCAUUGAGUCAUGCCCUUUUCUCAUAAUAUUUAAAUCAUAAUUUGGGUCAUUUCGAACACACACUCUAUCCCAAAUCUCAAUAAGCCAUCCUCUAAAAUUUAAAAAUUUGAUUUCACCACCUUUCCAACUUCAUUCCUCGAUAGGACAAGAUGUACUUGGCAUCCCAGAUUCCUAAAAGAUAUCAAAAAUUUUUUUCAUCGAUCUCUAUUUGAUUUACUAAAUCUCAGUAUAAUUUUGCAUAUCGAAUGUAUCAAAUAUCUUAGUGAUCCUCAAAUAAUGUUCUGAUACCUCCUCUAUCAAGCCCCCCGAAUUAUCACAUUCAGGAGGUGUGACCCUCUCUUAAAAUCCAUAAUAUUAAAAUUUAAUCAACAAUAUAAUACAAAAUCCAAAC
This 494-nucleotide long non-coding RNA is filed under the name Musa acuminata (dwarf banana). RNAcentral describes it as "long non-coding RNA (MACU_LNC010934)". The record is from RNAcentral. Lineage: Eukaryota; Viridiplantae; Streptophyta; Magnoliopsida; Zingiberales; Musaceae.